Molecule: ribosomal RNA, 485 nt
Filed under: uncultured bacterium
Lineage: Bacteria
Description: partial 16S ribosomal RNA
Rfam family: Bacterial small subunit ribosomal RNA
Source: RNAcentral
AGUGAACGCUGGCGGCGUGCUUAACACAUGCAAGUCGAACGAGAACGGAAUAUAGCUUGCUAUAUUUGUCAGCUAAGUGGCGCACGGGUGAGUAAUGUAUAGAUAACCUGCCCUUAAGAAAGGAAUAACAGUUGGAAACGACUGCUAAUGCCCUAUAUGCCUUUAAUACAUAAGUAUGCAAGGGAAACGCUUUAGUGCUAGAGGAUGGGUCUGUAUGGUAUCAGCUUGUUGGUGAGGUAAUGGCUCACCAAGGCUAUGACGCCUAACUGGUUUGAGAGGAUGAUCAGUCACACUGGAACUGAGACACGGUCCAGACUCCUACGGGAGGCAGCAGUAGGGAAUAUUGCACAAUGGACGAAAGUCUGAUGCAGCAACGCCGCGUGGAGGAUGACACAUUUCGGUGCGUAAACUCCUUUUAUAUAGGAAGAUAAUGACGGUACUAUAUGAAUAAGCACCGGCUAACUCCGUGCCAGCCGCCGCUGUAA